UACGAAGGGGGCUAGCGUUGUUCGGAAUUACUGGGCGUAAAGGGCGCGUAGGCGGUGUGUCAAGUCAGGCGUGAAAGCCCCGGGCUCAACCUGGGAACCGCGCUUGAGACUGGCACGCUAGAGUUCGGGAGAGGAUGGUGGAAUUCCCAGUGUAGAGGUGAAAUUCGUAGAUAUUCGGAAGAACACCAGUGGCGAAGGCGGCUCACUGGACCGGCAUUGACGCUGAGGUGCGAAAGCGUGGGGAGCAAACAGG
Molecule: ribosomal RNA, 253 nt
Filed under: uncultured bacterium
Lineage: Bacteria
Description: partial 16S ribosomal RNA
Rfam family: Bacterial small subunit ribosomal RNA
Source: RNAcentral